Molecule: long non-coding RNA, 574 nt
Organism: Papaver somniferum (opium poppy)
Lineage: Eukaryota; Viridiplantae; Streptophyta; Magnoliopsida; Ranunculales; Papaveraceae
Exons: 3
Source: RefSeq, a predicted model, not a curated record
ACGAAUCCAUAUCGUUUAAACGUCAUAGCAUUUGGUAGCAUGUAUAAAGCAAUCUCAUGUUUAGAAGCAUCAACGGAAACUUUGUACCAAUUGCUACAAAAUUUCCAUUGAUGCUGCAAAACAUGAAAUUUCUUUCUUACCCUUUCCAGAAGAUGAUGAUAAAUACAGAACAGUAGGGAAGGCUCAGAACUUGUGAUCGUCCCUGACUUGAAGGAAGGCGCAAUCUUUCCAAAAGGAAAGGCUGAAGUGCAUGAUGAUAAAUUAUCCCCGUCGACGCAGCCCCAUAUACAGAGAUCACUGCUAUCCUUACUAGUCCAACAUACUGUUGCAACAAUGUGAUAUAAGAUAUGGACUACCAAUUGAUCGAGAGUAAAGGAGGGGCAAAAUAGUAAACUUGUACGAACCCAAUAGAGGUUAUCUUGUGCACGACACUUUUGUCAUUGGGAUAGAUUUUAAUUUGUUGCAGAAGGAGCCAAUAGAGGGAUGAAAUGGAUGCCAGAUCUAAGAGAGCUGUCAAAAGUCUCAAGUCUGGCUGCAGUUUACAUUUUGGUAAGUUAGAAAAAAGUGGGCAAGG